CGGGCUGAUGAUCCUUCUCCAUCUUAUUAGAACAUAGAUCGCAGGCCAGUCAGCCUGACGAUCGCUUUGCAGGCGUGCCGCCUUCGUUUCUCUUUCUUCAUUGUUGAUUGACACUUGUACCGCUCACGAGCCGUAUUGCAGCUGCGCUGCUUGGCUCUGCGCGAGCGCGCCGCAUGAGCGGCGACGGACCUAGCGUCCUGUAUUUGGUUCUAACGGUUUGUUUGUUGGUUCUAAUACAAGGGCUUGUAGCUCAGUUGGUUAGAGCACACGCUUGAUAAGCGUGGGGUCGGAGGUUCAAGUCCUCCCAGGCCCACCAAAUUGUGAUAAGGGGCCAUAGCUCAGCUGGGAGAGCACCUGCUUUGCAAGCAGGGGGUCGUCGGUUCGAUCCCGUCUGGCUCCACCAUCACUUUUUUGGUGUCGAGUAGGACGGAUAGACAGUCAGUCAACAAGAGAAAGAACCAAGUUUGCGGACUUUACGAAGUCUGCGUGUUCUGUAUGAAAUCGUGAAGAGAAGAUGUAAUCGGAUCAGCUUUAUGGCUGAUGUCGCAAUGGUUUGCUCAAACCUUGCAUUAUGAUUGGACGCUAACCGCGCCACCGAUUGUAUCUCGAGAAGCUGGUCUUUCUGCUGAUAUGAUCAGAGCUUAAUGCUUUGAUGGAUAUUGGCAAUGAGAGUGAUCAAGUGUCUUAAGGGCAUUUGGUGGAUGCCUUGGCAUGCACAGGCGAUGAAGGACGUGAUACGCUGCGAUAA
RNAcentral lists this transfer RNA (748 nucleotides) under Brucella lupini. RNAcentral's name for it is "Ochrobactrum lupini partial 16S-23S ribosomal RNA intergenic spacer". The stretch from base 240 to 313 matches the Rfam family "tRNA". The record is from RNAcentral. Lineage: Bacteria; Pseudomonadati; Pseudomonadota; Alphaproteobacteria; Hyphomicrobiales; Brucellaceae.